This 402-nucleotide ribosomal RNA is filed under the name uncultured bacterium. RNAcentral's name for it is "bacterial SSU rRNA". It matches the Rfam family "Bacterial small subunit ribosomal RNA", at positions 355 to 774 of the family's 1533-position model. The record is from RNAcentral.
UGGGGAAUAUUGGACAAUGGGCGAAAGCCUGAUCCAGCCAUGCCGCGUGAGUGAUGAAGGCCCUAGGGUUGUAAAGCUCUUUCAACGGUGAAGAUAAUGACGGUAACCGUAGAAGAAGCCCCGGCUAACUUCGUGCCAGCAGCCGCGGUAAUACGAAGGGGGCUAGCGUUGUUAGGAAUUACUGGGCGUAAAGCGCACGUAGGCGGACAUUUAAGUCAGGGGUGAAAUCCCGGGGCUCAACCCCGGAACUGCCUUUGAUACUGGGUGUCUCGAGUCCGGAAGAGGUGAGUGGAAUUCCGAGUGUAGAGGUGAAAUUCGUAGAUAUUCGGAGGAACACCAGUGGCGAAGGCGGCUCACUGGUCCGGUACUGACGCUGAGGUGCGAAAGCGUGGGGAGCAAACA